AAACUAACAAGGAUUCCCCUAGUAACGGCGAGUGAAGCGGGAAGAGCUCAAAUUUGAAAUCUGGCAGCCUCAGGUUGUCCGAGUUGUAAUCUAUAGAGGCGUUUUCCGCGUCGGACUGUGUCCAAGUCCCUUGGAACAGGGUAUCAAAGAGGGUGACAAUCCCGUACUUGACACAACCACCGAUGCUAUGUGAUACGCUUUCUACGAGUCGAGUUGUUUGGGAAUGCAGCUCAAAAUGGGUGGUAAAUUCCAUCUAAAGCUAAAUAUUGGCGAGAGACCGAUAGCGAACAAGUACCGUGAGGGAAAGAUGAAAAGCACUUUGGAAAGAGAGUUAAACAGUACGUGAAAUUGUUGAAAGGGAAACGAUUGAAGUCAGUCGUGUUCUUCAGAUUCAGCUGGUUCUGCCAGUCUACUUCUGUUGAACGGGUCAACAUCAGUUUUGUCCGGUGGAAAAGGGCAGGAGGAAAGUAGCUCCCUCGGGAGUGUUAUAGCCUCUUGUCGCAUACACUGGGUGAGACUGAGGAAUGCAGCUCGCCUUUAU
RNAcentral lists this ribosomal RNA (541 nucleotides) under Cryptotrichosporon argae. RNAcentral's name for it is "eukaryotic LSU rRNA". It matches the Rfam family "Eukaryotic large subunit ribosomal RNA", at positions 62 to 610 of the family's 3401-position model. Lineage: Eukaryota; Fungi; Basidiomycota; Tremellomycetes; Trichosporonales; Tetragoniomycetaceae. The record is from RNAcentral.